Molecule: ribosomal RNA, 354 nt
Filed under: Triticum aestivum (bread wheat)
Lineage: Eukaryota; Viridiplantae; Streptophyta; Magnoliopsida; Poales; Poaceae
Description: partial small subunit ribosomal RNA
Source: RNAcentral
AUGCGUUGUGCGAUGCACUCGUGCCCGAAGAACUGGAGCAAAUGGCUGUUUUUGGCUGAAUAUUGGUACAAUACAACUUUUCACUCAUCGCUGGGGCGCACUCCUUUCGAAGUGAUCUAUGAGCACCUGCCGCGAGAAUUUGCAGUUAUACAGGUGGAGGAAAGCUCAGUGCCGGACCUUGCGGCGUGGUUGCAGGAGAGAGGUGUCAUGAUGCAUCACUUGCAGCAGCAGCUGAAACAUGUGCAGGAUCGCAUGAAGAAACAAGCAGACAAGCAUCACACAGAUCGGUCCUUUGAGGUGGGGGAUCUGGUGUUCUUGAAGCUUCAACCAUUCAUUCAGACCUCGGUAGCCUAG